Molecule: small nucleolar RNA, 138 nt
Organism: Tachyglossus aculeatus (Australian echidna)
Lineage: Eukaryota; Metazoa; Chordata; Mammalia; Monotremata; Tachyglossidae
Source: RefSeq, a predicted model, not a curated record
CCCUUCUCCGUAUCACACCUGGAGAGUUUCCAGCACUAUACCAGCCUCGACUACAAGAGGGAAAGUCAGGCAGAGGCAUAUCCAUUCCACUCCUAACUUGGGCAGUGGCUAGUGAGUGGAAGGCAAUCUGCUACAAGU